GUGGGCGUAGCUCAGUCGGUUAGAGCGCCGGAUUGUGGUUCCGGAGGUCGCCGGUUCGAAUCCGGUCGCCCACC
Molecule: transfer RNA, 74 nt
Filed under: Gemmatimonadota bacterium
Lineage: Bacteria; Pseudomonadati; Gemmatimonadota
Description: Gemmatimonadetes bacterium (sponge metagenome) tRNA-His
Rfam family: tRNA
About the family: Transfer RNA (tRNA) molecules are approximately 80 nucleotides in length. Their secondary structure includes four short double-helical elements and three loops (D, anti-codon, and T loops). Further hydrogen bonds mediate the characteristic L-shaped molecular structure. tRNAs have two regions of fundamental functional importance: the anti-codon, which is responsible for specific mRNA codon recognition, and the 3' end, to which the tRNAs corresponding amino acid is attached (by aminoacyl-tRNA synthetases). tRNAs cope with the degeneracy of the genetic code in two manners: having more than one tRNA (with a specific anti-codon) for a particular amino acid; and 'wobble' base-pairing, i.e. permitting non-standard base-pairing at the 3rd anti-codon position.
Source: RNAcentral